CAACCAACAACCGGGCGAUUGGGAAUGCGGCUAUUAUGUAAUGAAAUGGAUGAUGGAUUUUGUGAUGGUUGAACAACACGGAUUCUUGAGUAGAACGACUACACUUUGGAAGGACACCACUCCUUUUUCGGAAACCACCUUGUUUUCAAUUGUUGUUAAGUGGGCAACACAAUUUCUGAACAAAUAUAUAAAAGAUGUGGUUUUCUAGAAAGACAUAUCGUUAUGGCAAAACAAAAGGAACAAUGGUGAAAGUUGGACUCGUUGUGAUUGGAAGACUCACAUUGACUGGAACCAUCAAUGUUGUUUUUUUUUUAAUUGUUCAAGUUAUAUAUUUUUUUUUCCAGCUACAACAAUUGCUUAACUAGUUAACUUAUAUUUGCAUUACUGUUUGAACUUUAUUAUUGUUAUGGGCA
Non-coding RNA from Lactuca sativa (garden lettuce), 413 nucleotides. The record is from RefSeq and is a predicted model, not a curated record. NCBI's taxonomy places the organism in Eukaryota, Viridiplantae, Streptophyta, Magnoliopsida, Asterales, Asteraceae.